This 373-nucleotide unclassified non-coding RNA is filed under the name soil metagenome. Its description in RNAcentral is "partial contains 5.8S ribosomal RNA, internal transcribed spacer 2, and large subunit ribosomal RNA". The stretch from base 1 to 120 matches the Rfam family "5.8S ribosomal RNA", at positions 35 to 154 of the family's 154-position model. The record is from RNAcentral.
GAUGAAGAACGUAGUGAAAUGCGAUAAGUAAUGUGAAUUGCAGAAUUCAGUGAAUCAUCGAAUCUUUGAACGCAUCUUGCGCUCCUUGGUAUUCCGAGGAGCAUGCCUGUUUGAGUGUCAUCAAGUUCUCAAACUGCAUCCAUUUGAAGGGUGUGGAUUUGGAUUAUGGAGUUUGCAGGCUCUUUGAUUGAGGUCUGCUCCUCUGAAAUGUAUUAGUGGCGAUGUGGAAAAGCUACUGUGGGUGUGAUAAAUAUCUAUGCCUUAUGCAGUGUUCUGCUAUGCCGCUUGCAGGGAGAAAUUUCAUUUUUGACAAACUUGACCUCAAAUCAGGUAGGACUACCCGCUGAACUUAAGCAUAUCAAUAAGCGGAGGA